Meriones unguiculatus (Mongolian gerbil) is the source of this 2100-nucleotide RNA transcript. It is a transcript of the gene named amidohydrolase domain containing 1, with no coding region annotated. NCBI's taxonomy places the organism in Eukaryota, Metazoa, Chordata, Mammalia, Rodentia, Muridae. The record is from RefSeq and is a predicted model, not a curated record. The transcript is spliced from 10 exons.
CCACAGCCGCGGGCUCUGCCGUCCUUCGCAUCUGGCCGGCAGCUAGGACAACCAUGGCGGGCCGCCACCGCCUCCUGUUGGAAAACGCGCAGCAAGUGGUGCUGGUGUGUGCCCGCGGAGAGCGCUUCCUGGCCGGGCCGGCGCUGCGCAGCCUGGCGGUGCUGGAGGGCGCCAGCCUGGUGGUGGGCACUGAUGGGCUCAUAAAAGCGAUUGGCCCUGCUGACGUUAUCCAAAGACAGUUUUCCGGAGAGACUUUUGAGGAAAGAAUUGACUGCUCGGGGAAAUGCAUCUUGCCAGGUUUGGUGGACGCGCACACACAUCCAGUGUGGGCUGGGGAAAGGGUCCAUGAGUUCGCCAUGAAGUUGGCAGGGGCCACGUACAUGGACAUUCACCAGGCCGGCGGAGGGAUCAACUUCACGGUGGCGCACACCCGCCAAGCCUCGGAGGAGGAACUGUCUCGCUCCUUCCAGCAGCGGCUGCGGUGCAUGAUGAGGGCCGGCAGCACGCUAGUGGAGUGCAAGAGCGGAUACGGCCUCGACCUGGAGACGGAGCUCAAGAUCCUGCGUGUAAUCGAGCGCGCCCGGCGGGAGCUGCCCCUCAGCCUCUCUGCCACUUACUGCGGGGCUCAUUCAAUACCCAAAGGAAAAACUGCAGUUGAAGCUGCUGAUGACAUCAUCAGUAACCACCUGCCAAGGCUGAAGGAACUUGGUCAAAAUGGGGAACUACGUGUGGACAACAUAGACGUGUUCUGUGAGAAGGGCGUCUUUGAGCUGGAUACUACCAAAAGGAUUCUCAAAGCCGGGAAAGAGAUGGGCUUACAGAUCAACUUCCAUGGGGAUGAGCUCCACCCAAUGAAGGCUGCUGAGCUUGGGGCUGAACUGGGAGCACGGGCAAUCAGCCACCUGGAGGAAGUAAGCGAAGAAGGCAUUGCCGCCAUGGCUGCGGCUAGGUGUUCUGCAGUCCUUCUGCCCACCACGGCCUACAUGCUGAGGCUGAAGCAGCCUCAAGCCAGGAAGAUGUUAGAUGAGGGAGUCAUAGUUGCUCUGGGCAGUGAUUUCAACCCCAAUGCAUACUGCUUUUCGAUGCCAAUGGUCAUGCACCUGGCCUGUGUGAACAUGAGAAUGUCCAUGCCAGAGGCCCUGGCCGCUGCCACCAUCAAUGCGGCUUAUGCUCUGGGGAAAUCUCACACACACGGAUCUCUGGAGGUCGGCAAGCAGGGGGAUCUCAUCAUCAUCAGCGCAUCCAGUUACAGAGCUGCUCAAAAAUAAGGUGGAGUGAUUCAGGAAGAUAUCCCAAAAUGGACCACUGGCCUCUACACACAGCCACACAGAUGGGAGCAUUUGAUUUACCAGUUUGGAGGCCAUCAUGAAUUAAUUGAUUACGUUAUAGCUAAAGGAAAAGUCAUCUAUAAAAAGUGAUUUGGGCCAAUGAGACGACUCAGUGGGUUAAGUCUCAGCCUGGUGGCCCGAGUUCGAGCCUGGGACUCACAUAGCAGAAGGAGAGAACUCCUAAGAGUCACCCUCUGACCCCACACACUCACGUGGUGUGUGCCUGACACACCCCUCACCUCCACAGAAAUAAUGUAAUAAGAUAAAAAUCUACCUGAAAAAUGAUAGAUCUGGACGAACAGAGAAGACACUGUCUCUGCAUCAAAUGCAUCCAUGUAAGUGAAAGCACUUCCGUGGCUUGCCAGAACUGUGUCACGUAAGCCUAAUCACGUGUCAAUGCUUUACUCUUCACUUACUUGGCUUGAACCUGUUAUAUACCUGGAUGUGUAAGCAGGUAAAGCUAUCGUGGUGAAACGAAGAGUUGUUUUUCACAGAUUGGCUACAGAUAUUCUGAGACAUGAUGAGAGCGCUCAGAAAUUCCUUUGUGGGAGAAACACACUUGGCCUGAGAGUUCUGUUUUGUUUCUGUGAACACUGGGCUAGUGCUCUGGCCUGACGAGGCCAACGCUACAAUUCCUAAGGAACAGACAGACUCUUCUCUCUCCACGGUUUGUCUUUUAAGAUGCUUUCUAGUCAGUCAGGGCCUUCUGGGCCAGAGGUGUCCUUCCAUCUUUAAAAUCCUGUCAGCCUUUGGAAUAAAGCUUUGCCACAGA